Molecule: ribosomal RNA, 253 nt
Filed under: uncultured bacterium
Lineage: Bacteria
Description: partial 16S ribosomal RNA
Rfam family: Bacterial small subunit ribosomal RNA
Source: RNAcentral
UACGGAGGAUCCAAGCGUUAUCCGGAAUCAUUGGGUUUAAAGGGUCCGUAGGCGGUUUGGUAAGUCAGCGGUGAAAGCCCAUCGCUCAACGGUGGAACGGCCAUUGAUACUGCCAGACUUGAAUUAUUAGGAAGUAACUAGAAUAUGUAGUGUAGCGGUGAAAUGCUUAGAGAUUACAUGGAAUACCAAUUGCGAAGGCAGGUUACUACUAAUGGAUUGACGCUGAUGGACGAAAGCGUGGGUAGCGAACAGG